Molecule: long non-coding RNA, 949 nt
Filed under: Nicotiana tabacum (common tobacco)
Lineage: Eukaryota; Viridiplantae; Streptophyta; Magnoliopsida; Solanales; Solanaceae
Description: long non-coding RNA (NTAB_LNC000756)
Source: RNAcentral
AACUCAGGGAUUGGAGCCCUAAUGUUGGCUAAAGAAAAUUGCUCAACUCAGGUAUUGGAGCCCUAAUGUUGGCUAAGGAAAGCCGCUCAACUCAGGGAUUGGAGCCCUAAUGUUGGCUAAAGAAAGUUGCUUAACUCAGGGAUUAGAGCCCUAACGUUGGCUAAAGGAAGAACGCUCAACUCACGGAUUGGGGCCCUAAUGUUGGCUAAAGGAAAAACGCUCAACUCAGGGAUUGGGGCCCUAAUGUUGACUAAAGAAAAGCUGUUCAACUCAGGGAUUGGGGCCCUAAUGUUGACUAAAGGAAAAUUUCUCGACUCAGGGAUUGGAGCCCUAAUAUUGACUAAGGUAAAUCGCUCAACUCAGGGAUUGGAGCCCUAACGUUGGCUAAAGGAAGAACACUCAACUCAGGGAUUAGAGCCCUAAUGUUGGCUAAAGGAAACGCUCAACUCAGGGAUUAGAGCCCUAAUGUUGGCUAAAGAAAAACCGCUCAACUCAGGGAUUGGAGCCCUAAUGUUGGCUAAGGAAAACCGCUCAACCCAGGGAUUGGAGCCCUAAUGUCGGCUAAGGAAAAUCUCUCAACUCAGGGAUUGGAGCCCUAAUGUCGGCUAAGGAAAAUCGCUCAACUCAGGGAUUGGAGCCCUAAUGUCGGCUAAAGAAAAUUGCUCAACUUAGGGAUUGGAGCCCUAAUGUCGGUUAAAAGAAAAUCACUCAACUCAGGAAUUGGAGCCCUAAUGUCGGAUAAAAGAAAAUCGCUCAACUCAGGGAUUGGUGCCCUAAUGGCGGCUAUAAUAAAAUUCGCUCAACUCAGGGAUUGGAGCCCUAAUGUCGGCUAAAUGAAAAUCGCUCAACUCAGGGAUUGGAGCCCUAAUGUCGGUUAAAAGAAAAUUCGCUCAACUCAGGGAUUGGAGCCCUAGUGUCGGCUAAAAGAAAAUCACUCAACUCAGGGAUU